This 989-nucleotide ribosomal RNA is filed under the name metagenome. RNAcentral describes it as "bacterial LSU rRNA". It matches the Rfam family "Bacterial large subunit ribosomal RNA", at positions 1942 to 2925 of the family's 2925-position model. RNAcentral also lists the same sequence under 1 other name. The record is from RNAcentral.
AUAACGGUCCUAAGGUAGCGAAAUUCCUUGUCGGGUAAGUUCCGACCCGCACGAAUGGCGUAACGAUGGCCACACUGUCUCCUCCCGAGACUCAGCGAAGUUGAAGUGGUUGUGAAGAUGCAAUCUACCCGCUGCUAGACGGAAAGACCCCGUGAACCUUUACUGUAGCUUUGCAUUGGACUUUGAAGUCACUUGUGUAGGAUAGGUGGGAGGCUUUGAAGCAGAGACGCCAGUCUCUGUGGAGCCGUCCUUGAAAUACCACCCUGGUGUCUUUGAGGUUCUAACCCAGACCCGUAAUCCGGGUCGGGGACCGUGCAUGGUAGGCAGUUUGACUGGGGCGGUCUCCUCCCAAAGAGUAACGGAGGAGUUCGAAGGUUACCUAGGUCCGGUCGGAAAUCGGACUGAUAGUGCAAUGGCAAAAGGUAGCUUAACUGCGAGACCGACAAGUCGAGCAGGUGCGAAAGCAGGACAUAGUGAUCCGGUGGUUCUGUAUGGAAGGGCCAUCGCUCAACGGAUAAAAGGUACUCCGGGGAUAACAGGCUGAUUCCGCCCAAGAGUUCAUAUCGACGGCGGAGUUUGGCACCUCGAUGUCGGCUCAUCACAUCCUGGGGCUGUAGUCGGUCCCAAGGGUAUGGCUGUUCGCCAUUUAAAGUGGUACGUGAGCUGGGUUUAAAACGUCGUGAGACAGUUUGGUCCCUAUCUGCAGUGGGCGUUGGAAGUUUGACGGGGGCUGCUCCUAGUACGAGAGGACCGGAGUGGACGAACCUCUGGUGUACCGGUUGUAACGCCAGUUGCAUAGCCGGGUAGCUAAGUUCGGAAGAGAUAAGCGCUGAAAGCAUCUAAGCGCGAAACUCGCCUGAAGAUGAGACUUCCCUUGCGGUUUAACCGCACUAAAGAGUCGUUCGAGACCAGGACGUUGAUAGGUGGGGUGUGGAAGCGCGGUAACGCGUGAAGCUAACCCAUACUAAUUGCUCGUGAGGCUUGACUCU